Molecule: ribosomal RNA, 468 nt
Filed under: uncultured bacterium
Lineage: Bacteria
Description: partial 16S ribosomal RNA
Rfam family: Bacterial small subunit ribosomal RNA
Source: RNAcentral
GACGAACGCUGGCGGCGUGCUUAACACAUGCAAGUCGAACGGAAAGGCCCUGCUUUUGUGGGGUGCUCGUGUGGCGAACGGGUGAGUAACACGUGAGUAAACUGCCCUUGACUUUGGGAUAACUUCAGGAAACUGGGGCUAAUACCCGAUAGGAGCUUCUGCUGCAUGGUGGGGGUUGGAAAGUUUCGGCGGUUGGGGAUGGACUCGCGGCUUAUCAGCUUGUUGGGGGGGUAGUGGCUUACCAAGGUUUUGACGGGUAGCCGGCCUGAGAGGGUGACCGGCCACAUUGGGACUGAGGUACGGCCCAGACUCCUACGGGAGGCAGCAGUGGGGAAUAUUGCACAAUGGGCGGAAGCCUGAUGCAGCAACGCCGCGUGCGGGAUAACGGCCUUCGGGUUGUAAACCUCUUUCGCCUGUGACGAAGCGUGAGUGACGGUAAUGGGUAAAGAAGCACCGGCUAACUACGUG